Molecule: transfer RNA, 74 nt
Filed under: Betaproteobacteria bacterium
Lineage: Bacteria; Pseudomonadati; Pseudomonadota; Betaproteobacteria
Description: tRNA-Gly
Rfam family: tRNA
About the family: Transfer RNA (tRNA) molecules are approximately 80 nucleotides in length.
Source: RNAcentral
GCGGGCAUGGUUCAAUGGUAGGACGGCGGCUUCCCAAGCCUCAAACACGGGUUCGAUUCCCGUUGCCCGCUCCA